CCUUCUGUAGCUCAAUUGGUAGAGCAUGUGACUGUAGAAAAAUAAGCAGAUAUCACAGGGUCGCUGGUUCGAUUCCGGCCGGAAGGA
This 87-nucleotide transfer RNA is filed under the name Trypanosoma theileri. It matches the Rfam family "tRNA". From Rfam's summary of the family: Transfer RNA (tRNA) molecules are approximately 80 nucleotides in length. Their secondary structure includes four short double-helical elements and three loops (D, anti-codon, and T loops). Lineage: Eukaryota; Euglenozoa; Kinetoplastea; Trypanosomatida; Trypanosomatidae. The record is from Rfam by way of RNAcentral.